This 72-nucleotide transfer RNA is filed under the name Bos taurus (domestic cattle). It matches the Rfam family "tRNA". From Rfam's summary of the family: Transfer RNA (tRNA) molecules are approximately 80 nucleotides in length. Their secondary structure includes four short double-helical elements and three loops (D, anti-codon, and T loops). The record is from Rfam by way of RNAcentral. RNAcentral also lists the same sequence under 2 other names. Lineage: Eukaryota; Metazoa; Chordata; Mammalia; Artiodactyla; Bovidae.
GAGGCUGUAGCUCAGUGGUAAAGGACAUGCUCAGCAUGCAUGAGGUUCUGGGUUCAGUCCCCAGCAUCUCCA